GGGUUUAACUCCUGCUUGUUACCGUUUCAUCCGGUCGAAACCGAAUGUCGUUUUGGUGUCUGAUUCGGUAAGGAACCGGGAGCACCAUCUGCGUAGGCUUGUGGUUUAAGACUUGCGUCGCCUACGGUCUUGGACAGCCCCCGCCAGGCAGGGACCCCAAUUUUUUUGAUUGGCGCAAUUACUUGCACCA
RNAcentral lists this small RNA (190 nucleotides) under Pseudomonas sp. NFACC08-1. Its description in RNAcentral is "Pseudomonas sRNA P27". It matches the Rfam family "Pseudomonas sRNA P27". Lineage: Bacteria; Pseudomonadati; Pseudomonadota; Gammaproteobacteria; Pseudomonadales; Pseudomonadaceae. The record is from RNAcentral.